RNAcentral lists this ribosomal RNA (253 nucleotides) under uncultured bacterium. RNAcentral describes it as "partial 16S ribosomal RNA". It matches the Rfam family "Bacterial small subunit ribosomal RNA", at positions 524 to 776 of the family's 1533-position model. The record is from RNAcentral.
UACGGAGGGGGCCAGCGUUGUUCGGAAUUACUGGGCGUAAAGCGCACGUAGGCGGACUGUUAAGUCGGGGGUGAAAUCCUGGGGCUCAACCUCAGAAUUGCCUCCGAUACUGGCAGUCUCGAGUGCGGGAGAGGUGAGUGGAAUUCCCAGUGUAGAGGUGAAAUUCGUAGAUAUUGGGAAGAACACCAGUGGCGAAGGCGGCUCACUGGCCCGUAACUGACGCUGAGGUGCGAAAGCGUGGGGAGCAAACAGG